Molecule: transfer RNA, 72 nt
Filed under: Camelus bactrianus (Bactrian camel)
Lineage: Eukaryota; Metazoa; Chordata; Mammalia; Artiodactyla; Camelidae
Also listed under: 2 other names
Rfam family: tRNA
About the family: Transfer RNA (tRNA) molecules are approximately 80 nucleotides in length. Their secondary structure includes four short double-helical elements and three loops (D, anti-codon, and T loops).
Source: Rfam by way of RNAcentral
GAGGAUAGAGCUCAAUGGUAGAGCACAUGCUUAGCAUGCACGAGGUCCUGGGUUCAAUUCCUGGUACCUCCA